RNAcentral lists this long non-coding RNA (4975 nucleotides) under Mustela putorius furo (domestic ferret). RNAcentral's name for it is "lncRNA (ENSMPUG00000024405.1)". Lineage: Eukaryota; Metazoa; Chordata; Mammalia; Carnivora; Mustelidae. The record is from RNAcentral.
AUGUCCCCAGCUCCCUCCCACUCGUGGAUGGUCACCAUUGGUUUAGCUUCCUGCCAUGUCUCCACUCUUCCUACCUUCUUCAGUGUGGCCUCUUCUCUGCCUUCAGUAGUGGAAUUUGUCCUGCUCAGUCUUCAGGUCACUUUCUGGGUUAUUUACACGGAUGCGAGUGUUACCUGUUGUAUCCAUGGAGCAAGAUGUUUCCCUUUUAGCACAUUGAAUAGAACGUGUCACUCCAUUCUAGUCUGCAACAUUUCUGCUACAGAAUCAUCUGAUAUCCUUCUGGCACUUCUUGGUAAGUAACUAGUGGCUUUCCUCUUGCUUUUUUAAAGAUCUCCCCCAACUUUUUUUUUUUUUUUUUUUUUUUGUGCUUUAACCGUUUUAAUUAUUAUGUGUCUUUGUGUUCAUCUUGUUGAGUUUCCUGGCCCUGAAUAUGUUUCAUUCCACAGUUUAAGGACUUUUUUUUUUUUAAGUACAAUUUAUGCCUGUUUUCCUCUUUUGCAGGGAGCUAACAAUGAAUAUUACUAUGCUUGAUACAUUGUGUGUCCCUUAACCUAUUCUUUUUUUCUGUUAUUCAGCUUGAUACUUUCCCUUACCUGUCCUCCUCCAUCCUCUAGUCUGUCCAUUCAUUAUAUCCUACAGCUCUGAUUGAUCAGGGUUUUUAAAUUUUCUCUUUAGUAAAUUUCUGAGAUCAUCCACCCUUUCUUGAGUCCUAUGAGCAUCUUUUUUUUUUUUUACCAUAUUUUGAAUUCUUCAUCAGAUCGAUUAUCUUAUUUUUGUUUACCCCUUUCUUUGUGGCUUUUAUCUUGCUUUUUUAGGUGAAGUCAGCUACAUCUCCUGGUCUUGAAAGCAGCAGCUUUCAAAGUAGAAGGUGUCCUGCGGGGCCAGUAGUGUAAUACUUUUUGGGCACCAGGGGUGACUCCUGGACAGGUUGGACUGGCCCCCCAGAGGUGCUAUCAGCUUGCCCAUAAGUAGGGUUGGUGCCCAGCAUAGCUGGCUGAGAGUCUUGGCCGUAGCUGCUCUCCCUGAGAGCGGGCUGAGCGGCCUUGCCACGACUGCUGGGGACACGCUGUAGGCAGAUGUGGCUCCCCUCUCCCACCCCUAAGGUAGACAGAAGGUGUCUGAACUGGUCCCUGCAAGGCUGGGGUGAGAAAAAUGCUCCCCCCAUUACUCCCAAAGAAAGGGCCUACAGAUUUCUGCCCCUCUAGCACAUACUCCCUAAAAUCAGUGAAUCUCCUUCAUGUAUAACCCAGAUAUGUUUCAAACUGCUGCUGCUUGGACCAUGUGGUAUAGUGUCUGUCCUUUAGGAAAGGAGGCUUUAUUUCCUAGAGCUCCUUCAGGCUCUCCCAGUGUUACGCUCUAAUGAUUUUCAAAGCCAGACACUAUGGGCGCUCCGUGUUUCAGUGAACGCGCCCACGGCUGUGGGCACCCAGUGUGGGGCUGGAGUCCCUUGCUCCUCAGGGAAUGACUCCACACCCGUAACGUGGGUCACCCCGCGGGGAGUGUCAUUCACAAUAUUCUUGUCAACGUGACUUUCUCCUCCUGUUUUCAGUGGCGGAGAUGUCUUCUGCCAGUCACAACUUAUUUUCAGAGUGAGCUGCAUUAUAUGUAGUUGUUUUGCUUCAGAGUAUCCACGGGAGGAAGUGAGCUCAAGAUCCUCCAUUUCUACUAUUUUCCAGACUGUACACAUUUUUUGAGAAGGCCAAAACACUUGUGGGCAAGUAGACUGAAGCCACAGGACAUCCCUCAGAGAAUACAUAUGAAUCAUUGAUUUGGGAGCAUUUACUCUUCCUUUACUGAUACACCUCAAAUCCCGUCAUAAUUAAGUUGGGUUGGGGUGCCUGGGUGACUCAGUGGGUUAAGCCUCUACCUUCGGCUCAGGUCAUGAUCCCAGGGGCCUGGGAUCGAGUCCCGCAUAGGGCUCUCUGCUCAGCAGGGAGCCUGCUUCUCCUCAUCUCUCUCUCUGUCUGUCUCUCUGCCUAUUUGUGAUCUCUCUCUGUGUCAAUUAAAUAAAUAAAAUCUUUAAAAAAAAAAAAAGUUGGGUUCAUGCUGCCUCAGUGUAUCUUUCACCGAUGUCUAAUAGUCUUUCACUCCCCAGGAAGAGAGGGGAAGGCAGUGACGUGGGAAGAUUCUGAACCCCUUCUUCCUCCAGCGGACACCAGGCUGCGGCUGCACCUAGUUCAACUCACUCUCAGAACAACCUGAGGACUGGCAGAACAGCUUUACCACAAGGACCAAGAAAAAGCAACAUCGAGAAAGGUAGGAUGGGCAGGGAUGCCGUCAGGAAUGGAACCUACAGUGACCCACCCGCAGGAGAGAGCUCACAGGUACUCUGCAAGGAAUGAGGGGUUUCAGACCUUCCUUGAGCACUCUCAGUCAUUGGGAUCUGCAAUGGAUAGAUGAGCCCAUAACAUCUGUGACAUCUGGCUUUGAAAAGCAGCAGAGCUUAACUUCAGUAAGAGCAGAGGGCUACAGGAAAGAUUAUACUCUUAAAAGAGCCCACGUGCAAUAUUACUCUGAGACCACAGAGGCAGCAGUUUGAAAAGUGCCUGUGCUACCUGUAGGAUGUUUAUAAACUAAUUGUAAGACUUGUGCUAGAGGGACAGGGAUCUGUAGGAACUUGCUCCAGGAGCAGAAAUGCCGGCAGCUACCACUUUUCCUGAAACGGGUGGGUGCCAUUCUGCAUCUGCCUUGCUAGCACCAUUCACCCUGCGCAAGUCUGCCCUGUGGACUUACCGUGGUCGGUGCUCCUGCAAAUGGCCACACGUGAUGGUCAACCCGGUCCAGACCCAGCACCCCUCCAACGCAAGUCUUGCCCCAGUGAGGGAAGGAGAUGAGCCUGCAAGUCGUAGCCAACCUAAGACAUAGAAACAAGCAGAGAGUCAGACAAAAAUAGAGUAGAAGGUAUCGACAGUAGCUCAGAAAAUAUAGAACAGGUCUGGAAGAAACCUCAAGGAUAACAUGAUUCACAAUACAGGAGUUUCAGAAACCGAAACCUUAACAAAGAAAUAAUCAGUGAAAACUUCCCUAUGUUGGGGAAUGAAACAAACACCGAGUUCCAGGAUCCACAGAGAGCCCUCAAAGUGAACCCAAAAAAGGUCCACAGCAGGACACAUACUAAUGACGAUGAAAAUUAAAUAGAACAAAAAUUACUUACCUACAAGGAAAUCCACAUAAGGCUAUAAGCUGAUUCGUGAGCCGAAACUUUGGUAGACACAAAGUUUUGUAGGAAAAAAGCCUGCAACCAAGUACACUCUAAACCAGCAAGGUUAUCAUUCCAAAUUGAAGGAGAGAUAAAUAGGUUCCCAGGGGAACAAAAGGUAAGAGUCUAAAACCACUUAAACAACCUUCUAAGAAACUUCUUUGAAGGGAAGAGAAAAAGCUAUAGGAAGGGAAAAAUUACAAGGCUAUAAGCAAACAUAUAGGAAAGGCAGAUCAAAAAUGUACAAAGCUAAUAAAAUAUUAAGGUACUAAUAUCAAUUUUAUAUAUAAUUAGUUGUCCUAUACAUGGAAGAGGGAUUAAAAAUGUAGUUCUUUUGGAAUGUGUUUAAACGUAAACAAUAAUCACCUUUAUAUAGACUGCUAUAUAUAUAUUAUAUAAACAUAGUAGCCACAAAUCAAAAACCUAUAAAAAAGGAAUCCAUGCAUGACAAGAAAGGAAAAGAAUGACCAAACAACUAGAAUAAAAUUAACAGUAUAGAGUGUUUAUUACAUUUAAUUAUUAUAAGUAUGUGCUUUUUGCCAAUCAGAAGACCUAGGGAGACUGAAUUAAAAAGAAAAAAGACCCACCUAUAUGCAGUCUGUAAGAGAUCCACUUCAGACCUCAAGACAGUGAAAUAAAUAUAACUGAAAAUAAAGGAAGCGAUGGAAAAAAGAGCCAGCAUCGCUAUACUUGUAUCAGAUGUAACAGACUUUAAAAGACAAUAGCAUUAUACAAUAAUAAAGGGAUGGCUCAAACAAGAGGAUAUAUAACAAUUAUAAAUACCUAUGCACUUAACAGACAUAAAGGGAGAAGCUCUCAUACACUACUAGUAGGGAACUUCAACAGCCCAGUCCCAUCAAGUAGUGACUUUGAAAGACACAUUAGACCAGAUGAACUUAAGGUGAUAUACAAAGAACAGUCCAUCCACAAAAGCAAUGCACACAUUCUUUUCAAGUGCACAUAAAACACUCUGCAGGGUAGAUCACACUUAGGAGCACAAGUAGAUUGAAAUUAUACCAAACAUUUUUUCCAAACACGACGGUAUGAAACUAGAAAGCGCACCAACAUGUGGAGGCUAUACUACACAACCAGUGGGCUGAUGGAGAAAACAAAAAGUAAAUUUAAAAGCACCAGGACACAAAUAGAACUAGAAAUACUAUGGUCAGACAUCUUUGGGACACAACAAAAGCAGUUCCUAGAGGGACGUUUAUGGCAAUAGAGGCCUACAUCAAAAACAAGAAAAAUAUCUAACCUAACACUUAAAAACAAAACCCAAGAUUAAUAAAAGGAAAUAAUAAAUAUCAAAGUAGAAACAAAUUAAAAACAGACUUAACCAUAGAAAAGAUAAAUAGCUGGUUAUUUGAAAAACCUGAUAAAUCUAUCAGACAUAUCACGAAAAAGCCUAAAUGAAAGACAAAAAAUAACAGCACAAAAAUAAGGGACUACUAUGAAAAAAAUUAUAUGCCAUAAGUUGGGCAGCCUAUAAGAUUUCUCUCCGGAAAUCCUGGAAAUACACUCUUCCAAAAUGGAAUACUGAUUACUAGGGAUGAAAUUGAGCUGGUAAUCAAAAAUUCUCCCAACAAGCAAAAAUCCAGAACCAGAUGUAUUCACAGAAAAAUUCUACCAAACAUUUAAAAAACAGUUGAAAAUAGAACUGCCCUAUGACCCAGCAAUUGCACUACUGGCUAUUUACCCUAAAGAUACAAACAUAGUGAUCUGAAGGGGCACGUGCACCCGAAUGUUUAUAGCAGCAAUGUCCACAAUAGCCAAACUAUG